This 326-nucleotide ribosomal RNA is filed under the name uncultured bacterium. RNAcentral describes it as "bacterial SSU rRNA". It matches the Rfam family "Bacterial small subunit ribosomal RNA", at positions 28 to 334 of the family's 1533-position model. The record is from RNAcentral.
GAUGAACGCUGGCGGCGUGCCUAACACAUGCAAGUCGAACGAAGCAUACAGGACGGAGUAUUUCGGUAUGAAGUCCUGUCUGACUGAGUGGCGGACGGGUGAGUAACGCGUGGGUAACCUGCCUCAUACAGGGGGAUAACAGUUAGAAAUGACUGCUAAUACCGCAUAAGCGCCCGGAACCGCAUGGUUCUGAGUGAAAAACUCCGGUGGUAUGAGAUGGACCCGCGUCUGAUUAGCUAGUUGGCGGGGUAACGGCCCACCAAGGCAGCGAUCAGUAGCCGGCCUGAGAGGGUGGACGGCCACAUUGGGACUGAGACACGGCCCAA